CAGCCGCCGCGGUAAUACGUAGGGGGCAAGCGUUGUCCGGAUUUAUUGGGCGUAAAGAGCGUGUAGGCGGUUAGGUAGGUCCGUUGUGAAAACUCGAGGCUCAACCUCGAGACGCCGAUGGAAACCAUCUGACUAGAGUCCGGAAGAGGAGAGUGGAAUUCCUGGUGUAGCGGUGAAAUGCGCAGAUAUCAGGAAGAACACCCGUGGCUAAGGCGGCUCUCUAGUACGUGACUGACGCUGAGACGCGAAAGCGUGGGGAGCGAACAGGAUUAGAUACCCUGGUAGUCCACGCCGUAAACGAUGGGUGCUAGGUGUAGGGGGUGUCGACUCCCUCUGUGCCGAAGCUAACGCAUUAAGCACCCCGCCUGGGGAGUACGGCCGCAAGGCUAAAACUCAAAUGAAUUGACGG
Molecule: ribosomal RNA, 409 nt
Filed under: uncultured soil bacterium
Lineage: Bacteria
Description: bacterial SSU rRNA
Rfam family: Bacterial small subunit ribosomal RNA
Source: RNAcentral